RNAcentral lists this ribosomal RNA (427 nucleotides) under uncultured prokaryote. Its description in RNAcentral is "bacterial SSU rRNA". It matches the Rfam family "Bacterial small subunit ribosomal RNA", at positions 355 to 774 of the family's 1533-position model. The record is from RNAcentral.
UGAGGAAUUUUGGACAAUGGGCGCAAGCCUGAUCCAGCCAUGCCGCGUGAGUGAAGAAGGCCUUCGGGUUGUAAAGCUCUUUCGGCGGGGAAGAAAUUGCACUCUCUAAUACAGGGCGUAGAUGACGGUACCCGCAUAAGAAGCACCGGCUAACUACGUGCCAGCAGCCGCGGUAAUACGUAGGGUGCGAGCGUUAAUCGGAAUUACUGGGCGUAAAGCGUGCGCAGGCGGUUGUGUAAGUCAGAUGUGAAAUCCCCGGGCUCAACCUGGGAACUGCAUUUGAGACUGCACGGCUAGAGUGUGACAGAGGGGGGUAGAAUUCCACGUGUAGCAGUGAAAUGCGUAGAGAUGUGGAGGAAUACCGAUGGCGAAGGCAGCCCCCUGGGUUACUACUGACGCUCAGAUGCGAAAGCUAAGGUAGCAAACG